AACGAACGCUGGCGGCGUGCUUAACACAUGCAAGUCGAACGAGAAAGCUUCCUUCGGGAAGUGAGUAGAGUGGCGCACGGGUGAGUAACGCGUAGGUAAUCUACCCUUAUAUUUGGGAUAACAUUGGGAAACUGGUGCUAAUACCGAAUGGUCUUCAUUGCUUUGGGGCGAUGGAGUAAAGGUGGCCUCUUCAUGAAAGCUACCGUGUAGGGAUGAGCCUGCGUACCAUUAGCUAGUAGGUGGGGUAAUGGCCCACCUAGGCUACGAUGGUUAGCGGGUCUGAGAGGAUGAUCCGCCACACUGGAACUGGAACACGGACCAGACUCCUACGGGAGGCAGCAGUGAGGAAUAUUGCGCAAUGGGGGAAACCCUGACGCAGCGACGCCGCGUGAGUGAGGAAGGUUUUCGGAUCGUAAAGCUCUGUCCGAAGGGAAGAAGUGUUAUACAGUUAAUACCUGUAUAAUUUGACGGUACCUUCAGAGAAGCACCGCUAAC
RNAcentral lists this ribosomal RNA (495 nucleotides) under uncultured bacterium. Its description in RNAcentral is "bacterial SSU rRNA". It matches the Rfam family "Bacterial small subunit ribosomal RNA", at positions 29 to 501 of the family's 1533-position model. The record is from RNAcentral.